This 203-nucleotide long non-coding RNA is filed under the name Elaeis guineensis (African oil palm). RNAcentral describes it as "long non-coding RNA (EGUI_LNC082563)". The record is from RNAcentral. Lineage: Eukaryota; Viridiplantae; Streptophyta; Magnoliopsida; Arecales; Arecaceae.
GUGGAGCUGAAGUAUACCUCCUCACAGACUCUGAAGGGCCAGUCUCGUGAUCAGAUACAAACUGAAUAUUUGGAGAUGUUGCUCUGUGAUUACGAAGAGGUGAGGAUAGUCCUUCCUUCUCUGCUCUAUCCUCAGCUCUCUCUUCCAUACCUUUUGUCCAACCGCCAUCAGUCUUAGAAAAUUCCAUGCGAUGCAGUGUGUGG